GCAGACUCACUCUGUACUGAACUGCAGCCUCCAGUUCAGGUGCUUUUCUGUCUGCAAGAGCAGUAGUUCACACGAGU
Calypte anna (Anna's hummingbird) is the source of this 77-nucleotide non-coding RNA. Lineage: Eukaryota; Metazoa; Chordata; Aves; Apodiformes; Trochilidae. The record is from Rfam.